This is a non-coding RNA of Podarcis lilfordi (Lilford's wall lizard), 72 nucleotides long. NCBI's taxonomy places the organism in Eukaryota, Metazoa, Chordata, Lepidosauria, Squamata, Lacertidae. The record is from the annotation of a GenBank genome assembly.
GGGGCCAUAGCUCCAUGGCAGAGCAUCUGCCUUGCAAGCAGAAGGUCCAAAGUUCAAUCCUGGGCAUCUCCA